This 196-nucleotide ribosomal RNA is filed under the name uncultured bacterium. RNAcentral's name for it is "partial 16S ribosomal RNA". It matches the Rfam family "Bacterial small subunit ribosomal RNA", at positions 328 to 539 of the family's 1533-position model. The record is from RNAcentral.
ACGCUCGACACCUACGGAGGCAGCAGUGGGGAAUAUUGCACAAUGGGGGAAACCCUGAUGCAGCGACGCCGCGUGGAGGAAGAAGGUCUUCGGAUUGUAAACUCCUGUUGUUGGGAAAAGAGGAUGGUACCCCAACAAGGAAGUGACGGCUAACUACGUGCCAGCAGCAGCGGUAAUCUGAGCGGGCUGGCAAGGC